CCUACGGGAGGCAGCAGUGAGGAAUCUUGGUCAAUGGACGAGAGUCUGAACCAGCCAAGUAGCGUGAAGGAUGACUGCCCUAUGGGUUGUAAACUUCUUUUAUAUGGGAAUAAAACGUUCCACGUGUGGGAUUUUGUAUGUACCAUAUGAAUAAGGAUCGGCUAACUCCGUGCCAGCAGCCGCGGUAAUACGGAGGAUCCGAGCGUUAUCCGGAUUUAUUGGGUUUAAAGGGAGCGUAGGUGGAUUGUUAAGUCAGUUGUGAAAGUUUGCGGCUCAACCGUAAAAUUGCAGUUGAAACUGGCAGUCUUGAGUACAGUAGAGGUGGGCGGAAUUCGUGGUGUAGCGGUGAAAUGCUUAGAUAUCACGAAGAACUCCGAUUGCGAAGGCAGUUCACUGGACUGCAACUGACACUGAGGCUCGAAAGUGUGGGUAUCAAACAGGAUUAGAUACCCUUGUAGUC
This 460-nucleotide ribosomal RNA is filed under the name uncultured bacterium. RNAcentral describes it as "partial 16S ribosomal RNA". It matches the Rfam family "Bacterial small subunit ribosomal RNA", at positions 338 to 795 of the family's 1533-position model. The record is from RNAcentral.